AUGCGCUACCAAGAGGCUGUGGGCUUCCUGGAACUGCUGGCUGGGCUGCUGCUGGUCCUGGGCCCACGGAUGCUGCAAGAGAUCAGUAACUUGCUUUUGACCCUGCUCAUGAUGGCCCUACCCUUGAGACGAGGAGAUGGAGUUGCAGCUGCCCGUGGAGUUAUGCGUCUGGCAGGGGCUAUCUUCACCUUGGCGUCUCUGAAAGAGUCACCGAACACCUACAUCCCAGCUGUCGUCUGCCUGGGGCUCCUGCUGCUGCUGGAUAUCUGCCAGCUCUGAGGCCAAACUGAGGAGGUGGUCAGACCCACCAGGGAGAAGACUCUUCCAAGUGCACUCAAGGAAUCCUGGGAGUCGAGGGCCUCUUGCCUCUUCAUGCCAUGCCACGGUCACGACAGGAACAUGGUGGAACACACAGUGUACCACCUUGUUACCAGUACCUCCAGGGUUGGCCAGUGGUGAAGCGGACAUCUUAUCUUCCUGACCCUGCUUUCUGUCUUGGACAGCUACUGCUCUGUUUUGAGGGCUACGUGUUAAACAUACUAAUAUUCCUCAUGUCAUGUGAAAAUAGAAAAUAAACAGAAAAGCAAUUUAAAUCA
This 596-nucleotide long non-coding RNA is filed under the name Ursus maritimus (polar bear). Its description in RNAcentral is "lncRNA (ENSUMAG00000008103.1)". The record is from RNAcentral. Lineage: Eukaryota; Metazoa; Chordata; Mammalia; Carnivora; Ursidae.